GCCCGGGUGGCGGAAUUGGUAGACGCGCUAGAUUCAGAGUCUAGUGUCCGUAUAGGAUGUGUGGGUUCAAAUCCCGUCCCGGGCA
Molecule: transfer RNA, 85 nt
Filed under: Spirochaetes bacterium GWF1_51_8
Lineage: Bacteria; Pseudomonadati; Spirochaetota
Description: tRNA-Leu
Rfam family: tRNA
About the family: Transfer RNA (tRNA) molecules are approximately 80 nucleotides in length. Their secondary structure includes four short double-helical elements and three loops (D, anti-codon, and T loops).
Source: RNAcentral